RNAcentral lists this ribosomal RNA (329 nucleotides) under uncultured bacterium. Its description in RNAcentral is "bacterial SSU rRNA". It matches the Rfam family "Bacterial small subunit ribosomal RNA", at positions 568 to 898 of the family's 1533-position model. The record is from RNAcentral.
CGUGUAGGCGGCUCAUCAAGUCUGGUGUGAAACGCAAGGCUUAACCUUGCGUAGGCGCUGGAAACUGGUGGGCUGGAGUUCUUGAGGGGAAGCUGGAAUUCCAGGUGUAGGGGUGAAAUCUGUAGAUAUCUGGAAGAACACCGGUGGCGAAGGCGAGCUUCUAUCAGAGGACUGACGCUGAGGCGCGAAAGCGUGGGGAGCAAACAGGAUUAGAUACCCUGGUAGUCCACGCUGUAAACGAUGUGCACUAGGCGUGGGGCACGUACGUGUUCUGUGCCGUAGUUAACGUGAUAAGUGCACCGCCUGGGGAGUAUGCUCGCAAGGGUGAA